RNAcentral lists this ribosomal RNA (228 nucleotides) under uncultured bacterium. RNAcentral describes it as "partial 16S ribosomal RNA". It matches the Rfam family "Bacterial small subunit ribosomal RNA", at positions 568 to 795 of the family's 1533-position model. The record is from RNAcentral.
UCCGUAGGCGGGUAAUUAAGUCAGAGGUGAAAUCCCACAGCUCAACUGUGGAACUGCCUUUGAUACUGGUUGUCUUGAGUUACAGUGAAGUAGAUAGAAUAUGUAGUGUAGCGGUGAAAUGCAUAGAUAUUACAUAGAAUACCGAUUGCGAAGGCAGUCUACUAACUGUAUACUGACGCUAAUGGACGAAAGCGCGGGGAGCGAACAGGAUUAGAUACCCUGGUAGUC